UAAAACAAUAAGGUGGUGGCGCUCCCGGCCGACGAGUGAAGCUUGGUGGCGCUGACAGCUAUUAGGCUGACGUCAUUUCACGAGAUCGACAGUGGCGCCACCGUGUCCAAUUCCAGAUAAGAAGAGGCUAUUGAAAAGCUCUAGGAGUCUGAUAUUCAUAAAACGGCGAUCGUCCGCACAUUAACCAGAUAUGAACGAUAACUCUCGUCCUACGGCAGGAAAACUUUUUUUUUAAUAUAUAUAUAUAUAUGAAGGAAUACAUUAAUUAAGGGAUGUUAAAAUUGUAUAAAGGGUACAGAUUUAGAAUAUAAAUUUCCAGUUAAUCUCGACUUUCAGCGCCAAAAAAACACGAACUUUUAUCUAUUACGUCACGAACUUUGCACCCGAAAAUGAAAAUCAAAGCUUAAUGAAUACGGGUAAGUUGCUAAUCAUAAUUUCCAAAUUUUAAUUCGUACACGAAUUUAUUCACUAAUCCCGCAUUUAAAACAAAAAAAUACGGAAUUAAGCACCGAAUUCACCACGAAAUUACUACCAUUAAAACACUUAAUCUCGUGUUACCGAAUGCUUAAUUCUUCUUUCACAAUUCAAUACACUGACGUGGCAAUUAAAAUGAAAUUAUCAUACAAAUAAUCCCAAGAUAGGCCAAUUACCAUAUAUAUAUAUAUAUAUAUAAAGUAAAGUAAAAGCUUUUAUUUUAUUUUUAUAUUAUAAUUGCUCUAUCUCGAAACCAUGCGGGAACAAUUUCAACGCGAUCGUAAAUCAAUAAAAACCGAUUUAACAAAGCGAAAUUUUCUAAGAAAAUUAGCAGGAAAAACGAACGGGUUUAUUUUAUACGAUAUAUAAAAAAAUAAAAUUUGUAAUUUUAUUAUCGUAUAAACGAUCGAUCCGAACGAAUAAGAAAAGAUAACGAUCUAAAUCGAGUGGAAUUACCGAUGUACUAUAAAUAAUUGAUACAAGAAAAACUUAUAAGAAAGAUGGCUAAACUGAAAAAUCAGUCACAGAGUCACCGUACAGUACAAUGGAUACUUAUUACAAUCGACAAUCGCUCAAUGGCCUGUGACUGUCGUAAGAUGUGAACUCGGAUAACCUUCCCGACUAAACAAUCGAGCUCAUUACAAAGAUAUUUUUAAACCUAGUGAUGCUUUCCCACGAAUAUUCCAACGUCAAACAAACCCAUACACA
Long non-coding RNA from Centruroides sculpturatus (bark scorpion), 1182 nucleotides. RefSeq lists it as uncharacterized. The record is from RefSeq and is a predicted model, not a curated record. Lineage: Eukaryota; Metazoa; Arthropoda; Arachnida; Scorpiones; Buthidae. The transcript is spliced from 4 exons.